UGAAAAUAAAUACUUACAUAUUUUUUAAGGAAAUGACUUAUAAAAGACAGUAUGGUAAGGAUGGUCUAUUUUAAAAGUCUGAGUUUACUGUGUGUUUUCUCUCCUUUUAUAAGCAGAAUCAGAGAGCUGGGACCAUUUCAGUAGGUCCUUGGGCUGCCUGAAAACUAUGACCCUGGAGCAUCAUUUACUCAAAAUGCUCAUCCAAAAUCAGGACAUCAAAACUAGUUACUCUUCACCUUAUGGAAACGAAUACCCUAAGAUUUCCUCUGGACACUUUCCACACAUCCUCAUCUGGCCCCUGCUCAUGAGCAAGUUGAAUUAG
Molecule: long non-coding RNA, 322 nt
Filed under: Aotus nancymaae (Ma's night monkey)
Lineage: Eukaryota; Metazoa; Chordata; Mammalia; Primates; Aotidae
Description: lncRNA (ENSANAG00000039316.1)
Source: RNAcentral